UGCUCUGUUUACUACCGUUCCUUACCAUAUAUAUGUGAGGUUUGCUCUGUUUGAAUGUUAUAUGUUAUAGCACCAGUUGUGGAAAACAGCUCUUGAUUGGUUCAUAGGAAGCACUCUGCUGGUCCUUCCCUAAAUUGGGAAGUGAAUUCUAAACUAGACAAGCAUGCUUUUAAAAACUAAUUCUGGAGAAAAUCAUGUCACAAUGUACCUAUUAUGCGAAGCUAUUAAUUAUGGCGUCUAGCAGACGUGAGACAGAAACAAAUGCACUUUUUAAGUCAAUAAUUCCAGAUAUAUUAUCGUUUAGAUAACCGAGGGUAGUCAGAUAAUGAAUGUCAUUUAAUUUGUUGAUAAUUUACAGUAAUUAACAUUGUGGAAUAAUUUGUUCAUGUUACUCGCUGAAAGUGAUUUGUGAUACGAAAUUGAUCACAGUGGUGAAAAUUAAAUUAAAAUAUUUAAAUUUGAAUUUGUAAUGAAUAAUUUAAAUUAUAGUAAAAAGUAAAUUUUAGUUAUUGAUAAUUUAUUUUAAAAUUAUUGAAAUUAAAUUUAGAAAUAAAUAUAAAAUAUGAAAGAUUAGGUAGAUAAAAUAACUAGAAAAUAUUUUAAAACAAAUUAUCAUUAUUUAGAGACCAAUAUGGUGGCCAUCUUUUGAUCUUUAUAUAUUUGGUUGCUAAAUUGGUUUUUAUAUCUUUGCUUGCUAAAAUAGUUUUGAUAUAAUUGGUUGCUAAAUUAAUUUCUAUGCAAUUAGUUGCUAAAUUAGUUUCUAUUUGGUCACAAAAUUAGUUUCUAAAUUAGAAGCUAAAUUGGUAUCUAGCAUUAGCUACCAAAGUUUAGCUACUUAUGACUAUUAGAAUCUAAAUUGGUCUCAACUUGAAUAAGUGACUAAUUUGGUCAUUUUAGAGACUAAUAAUUUGGUUUCUAAAACCGAAUUUUCUUGUAGUGCCUGAAUAUGUUAGGUUCCUUUAUUCAAGGAAUCGAACAACUGCUCUAUGCUCACACACACUCAACAGUAUAAAAGAAAUAUGUAUGUAUAUGUAUUUCUAUUUCCUCUCUAACGUGUAGAAAAGGAAAAUACAUGUAUCUGUCUCUCCCCCCAAGGAAGCCUCCCUUCCUCCACUGGCCAACAACAGUUCUUAUCAGACAAAUUUGAUAUGAAAAGAAAUAGUUCUAAGAAUAGGUAUACUCGAAGAACACGAAAUAUGGAGCCCUAGAGAAGAAAGAGUUCAGAAACUGUAUUAGAUAAGAAAAGUAACAACAGUAGAUUCAAUGAGAUAUGGUUAGAACAACACUAUUAUAUGUCUGUGAUCUCCAAGACUACAGAAAACUACGUAAGUGUUAUAGAUAAAGUUUAUGCGCAGUUCACUCCUACUGUUGUUGCGCAUUUUAUUUAUUGGAAUAGCUAAAAUUUAAGAUGUAGUUGGACACUCUGAUAGUAAUUAGUAAUGAAAUCAAUGUUUUUCACUUUUUA
This is a long non-coding RNA of Vigna angularis (adzuki bean), 1465 nucleotides long. RefSeq lists it as uncharacterized. The record is from RefSeq and is a predicted model, not a curated record. NCBI's taxonomy places the organism in Eukaryota, Viridiplantae, Streptophyta, Magnoliopsida, Fabales, Fabaceae. The transcript has 2 exons.